Phacochoerus africanus (Common warthog) is the source of this 1230-nucleotide long non-coding RNA. RefSeq lists it as uncharacterized. NCBI's taxonomy places the organism in Eukaryota, Metazoa, Chordata, Mammalia, Artiodactyla, Suidae. The transcript is spliced from 3 exons. The record is from RefSeq and is a predicted model, not a curated record.
ACCCCCCCCCCCCAUUUCUCCAGAGUCCUGUCUGUGCGUCCCCAUCCACUUCCAAUCCCACCUCUUCUCAUCAUCCCCCGUUGGCAGCACACACAAAGGAAAUCAGAGGCAGAGCUUGGCCAGAGGUCUAGUGACAGGUGUGCCUAGAACUCAAUCCGAAGGUCUUUGUGUUUCUGUAGUAACCCCCCUUCAUCCCACCAAGUCUUCAGCGAAGUUCACCCCAUGGGCAAAUCACAUCGUGUGAGGCGUUAUUUUGUAAAUAGAAACCAACAAACUCCCUUAACUGACCCCCAAGCAGAAACAAAGAAGCAGCUGCAAGAUUCAAAGCAAAGAACAAGAAUGUAGCUAAUGCAACUCGUCCUUUCGAAAGAAGAAAAUGAAGAAGUCAGCUGGGGGAAAGAAGCAAGUGAAGCAGAAGUCAGCUAGGGGGAUUCUACGGAACUCUCGGCUGUAUCUGCUUGGGGGAUCUCAUCUUCCCUGUCGCCUCUUCUUUUCUCCGGCGAGCCUGACGCUGAGUGAAGACUAGUACGCAGCGAGGAUGACCAAGGAAAAUGCCAGAGGGCACUGUGUGUGUGUAAGAGAGAAGCAUGUUCCCAGGAAGUCUACAUGUACCACGGAGGGUAGACCAUUUCCUGUAACUGUCUCGACACUUCAGAAAAAAAGAUCAUUCUGCUGAUCUGCAACCACACUGCCUCCUGUCUCCACCACGGCUGUUACCUCUCUCGCCUCCUCCACCAUCUGCCUUCCCCUUCACCUGGUCUCUUCACAGGACAGAGUUCGAAUGUUGGUCCAUAUGCCUUGCCCUUUGCAUGAGAUGGUUCCCAGGAUGAGAGAGAGAGGCAAGGGCUAGGAUGAGGAGAGCCCUCACCCUGGAGAAGAGGUCUGAUCUCACCAUAGAGACCCCAGUGAGCAAUCUUCUCCCCCAAAUCAAGAAUGACAUCUGGGGAAAGGGAUCAAGAUGGCGGAGGAGGAGGGUAUGGAACUCGCCUUCCGCCACAAAUGCAUCCACAAUACAUCUCAUGUGGAACAAUUAGCUACCAUAUGAUCCAAGAAUUUCCCUCCUGGGCGUUUAUCCAGAAAAGAUGAAAAUUCUAAUUCAAGAGAUGCAUGCACCCCAAUGCUCACAGCAGCUUUAUUUACAAUAGCCAAGACCUGGGAAAAAGCCCAAAUACCAUCAACGGAUAAUUAUGUGUGUGUGUGUGUGUGUGUGUACACUAAAUGGAAUAUUAU